AAUCAACGCUGGCGGCGUGCCUCAGACAUGCAAGUCGAACGAUUAAAGCUCUCUUCGGAGAGUGCAUAGAGUGGCGCACGGGUGAGUAACACGUAAGUAAUCUACCUUCGAGUGGGGAAUAACGUCCGGAAACGGACGCUAAUACCGCAUAACGCAGCGGCAUCGCAAGAUGACAGUUGUUAAAGAUUUAUCGCUUGAAGAGGAGCUUGCGGCAGAUUAGCUUGUUGGUAAGGUAAC
This 237-nucleotide ribosomal RNA is filed under the name uncultured bacterium. RNAcentral describes it as "partial 16S ribosomal RNA". It matches the Rfam family "Bacterial small subunit ribosomal RNA", at positions 32 to 261 of the family's 1533-position model. The record is from RNAcentral.